This 87-nucleotide transfer RNA is filed under the name Anaerotruncus sp. Its description in RNAcentral is "tRNA-Leu". It matches the Rfam family "tRNA". From Rfam's summary of the family: Transfer RNA (tRNA) molecules are approximately 80 nucleotides in length. Their secondary structure includes four short double-helical elements and three loops (D, anti-codon, and T loops). RNAcentral also lists the same sequence under 2 other names. Lineage: Bacteria; Bacillati; Bacillota; Clostridia; Eubacteriales; Oscillospiraceae. The record is from RNAcentral.
GCCGGUGUGUCGAAAUUGGCAAACGAGGCAGACUCAAAAUCUGCUGUCAGCAAUGGCUUGUGGGUUCGAGUCCCACCACCGGCACCA